GAGGCAGCAGGGGAGUUUCAGUCUGAAGAGUCAUCUGAUUAUGCAGCAGAGCCAUCCCCUGUAGCUACUUCUGGCUCCCCAGUCCCUGGUCCCUCCACUCCUGCUGCUGCACCCACAGGCCCACAGAGGAGGAAAGCUCAAAAGCGGCAGAGGGACGGGUCACAGGAUGGUCCAUCGGCGGUGGAGCUGGCCAUCCUGGAGUCGCUGAAGAGGCCACGCCCGUCUCCAACGGAGUAUUUCCUCCUCAGCCUUGCUCCUGCUCUGGAGAGCCUGCCGCCUCAGA
Long non-coding RNA from Oreochromis aureus, 283 nucleotides. RefSeq lists it as uncharacterized. The record is from RefSeq and is a predicted model, not a curated record. The transcript is spliced from 3 exons. Lineage: Eukaryota; Metazoa; Chordata; Actinopteri; Cichliformes; Cichlidae.